Molecule: ribosomal RNA, 943 nt
Filed under: Podoscypha involuta
Lineage: Eukaryota; Fungi; Basidiomycota; Agaricomycetes; Polyporales; Podoscyphaceae
Description: LSU rRNA
Rfam family: Eukaryotic large subunit ribosomal RNA
Source: RNAcentral
GCAUAUCAAUAAGCGGAGGAAAAGAAACUAACAAGGAUUCCCCUAGUAACUGCGAGUGAAGCGGGAAAAGCUCAAAUUUAAAAUCUGGCGGCAUCUUGCUGUCCGAGUUGUAGUCUGGAGAAGCGUUUUCUGUGCUGGACCGUGUACAAGUCUCUUGGAAUAGAGCGUCAUAGAGGGUGAGAAUCCCGUCUUUGACACGGACUACCAGUGCUUUGUGAUGCGCUCUCAAAGAGUCGAGUUGUUUGGGAAUGCAGCUCAAAAUGGGUGGUAAAUUCCAUCUAAAGCUAAAUAUUGGCGAGAGACCGAUAGCGAACAAGUACCGUGAGGGAAAGAUGAAAAGCACUUUGGAAAGAGAGUUAAACAGUACGUGAAAUUGCUGAAAGGGAAACGCUUGAAGUCAGUCACGUUGGUUCAGAACUCAGCCUGGCUCUUUUGCUUGGUGCACUUUCUGAUCAACGGGCCAGCAUCAAUUUUGAUCAUUGGAGAAAUUCUCUGGGAAUGUGGCUCUCUUGAGAGUGUUAUAGCCUGGGGUUGUAUACAGUGAUUGGGAUUGAGGAACUCAGCACGCCUUCAUGGUCGGGGUUCGCCCACGCUCGUGCUUAGGAUGCUGGCGUAAUGGCUUUAAACGACCCGUCUUGAAACACGGACCAAGGAGUCUAACAUGCCUGCGAGUGUUUGGGUGGAAAACCCGAGCGCGCAAUGAAAGUGAAAGUUGGGAUCUCUGUCGUGGAGAGCACCGACGCCCAUACCAGACCUUUUUGUGACGGCUAUGCGGUUGAGCAUGUAUGUUGGGACCCGAAAGAUGGUGAACUAUGCCUGAAUAGGGUGAAGCCAGAGGAAACUCUGGUGGAGGCUCGUAGCGAUUCUGACGUGCAAAUCGAUCGUCAAAUUUGGGUAUAGGGGCGAAAGACUAAUCGAACCAUCUAGUAGCUGGUUCUGCGAG